GCUGUGGAGAGUUAUACAAACGAAAGUAGCUAAGGCAAAAUCGGACUUUAUGAAGCAGCGA
The submitters of this non-coding RNA (61 nucleotides) gave its source as unclassified sequences. The record is from Rfam.